CCAUAUAAGGGCUAGUAUUACCCCUUAUAUGUAGCAUGUAGCAUGUAGCA
RNAcentral lists this non-coding RNA (50 nucleotides) under unclassified sequences. RNAcentral describes it as "ssNA-helicase RNA". It matches the Rfam family "ssNA-helicase RNA". Rfam says of the family: Firmicutes, Actinobacteria (1 example). The record is from Rfam by way of RNAcentral.